Paramuricea clavata is the source of this 1193-nucleotide non-coding RNA. Lineage: Eukaryota; Metazoa; Cnidaria; Anthozoa; Malacalcyonacea; Plexauridae. The record is from the annotation of a GenBank genome assembly.
AGUAAACAGUGUAUUUUAUUAUAAAGGAUUUUCGUUUUUCUACUGCUCCGUAGUUCGUGUGCUCCGUGCUCCGUGUGCUCCGUACUCCGUGUGCUCCGUGUUUUACUAAUAGCCAUAAUGAUACAGUCGCAGGCAUAUGUGAACCAGGCUUUAGGGUUAAGUCAACCGGUUUUUGAACAACCGGUCCAGCAGAUUCGUGAAACAAUUCUGCAUUUUAUGGUGAAAGCACCAAAUUUGAACAGAUAUAGAGAUGAUAGAAAUCUAACCGUCACCCGGAAAAAGUCCAUUUUAAUAGUAUUAUCUUUGCAAUAAAGAAAUGUUCCGGCGCGUAGUACGAUUUUCUAACUCUAUUUUGAAUUUAAUAUAAACAACUGUGCCGGUGGAAUAAGUGUGCAUAAAUUAUGCAAAGCAAGCACUUUCUACGAAGUUUUUACACGGUGCAAUUAUUCAUGCAACUUGUCCCGCAACGUUUAAAAAAAGAUUUUGAUAAUACGUUGCAAGAGGUGUUACACACUGCAAUGAUUUUCAUGCAACUCGCAACGAUAGGGGACAGAGGUAUGCGAAGAGACUAAGGAGAGGCGCUAUUUGGCGCCAAAUUUUAAUUAAAGUAAAGCGUGUACUGGGGAGAGCCAAUAGGAACUCUCCAAGCAAUAAACAUUGCGAGACAAGUUGCACGAAGCCAUGUUACACGCUGCAAUGCUAAAAAUAAUUAGUGCAAUCGUUGACAAAAGUAGAACAAACUUCUACUCUGUGCAAUGCUUCAUGCAACUUGUCUCGCAAAGAUUUUGACCCUUUGCAAGACAUGUUAAACGGUGCAAUGACUCGUGCAACUUGUCUUGCAACGCCAUUGCGACUUGCGAGACAAGUUGCAUGAAAAAUUGCACCGUGUAACAGGGCCAGAGCUCACAAGACAAAGAAAAAUUUUCUUGUCCGUUCCAAUCCACGGAUAAUUUUCCUGAGUGGAAACUAGCCUUAAGCGUCCACAACUCAAGAGUCCUGGUCAACCACAAUGCAAUGCGUACGUUUGUUUACGUUUCUGUUACGUUGUGAGCCAGAGGCAGCCAUUUUUGUGACGAGGAUGGUGACAUCGAAAAUGGCGGCAACAAUUGAGAAAAGUAACGGGAAAACGUAAACAAAAGCGCCCAUUGCAUUGUGGUUGACCAAGACUCUUUAAAUUGCCAAAUAAAUUGGUG